AUUGAACGCUGGCGGCAGGCCUACCCCAUGCAAGCCGAUCGAGCGGCGGACGGGUGAGUACUGUCUGGGAACCUCCCUGCUGGGGGGGGAUAACUACUGGAAACGGUAGCUAUUACCGCUUACCCUCAGCUUUGCCCAGCUGGGAUUGGCUAGUAGGUGGGGUACCGGCUCCCCUAGGCGACGAUCCCUAGCUGGUCUGAGAGGAUGACCAGCCACACUGGAACUGAGACACGGUCCAGACUCCUACGGGAGGCAGCAGUGGGGAAUAUUGCACAAGGGGCGCAAGCCUGAUGCAGCCAUGCCGCGUGUAUGAAGAAGGCCUUCGGGUUGUAAAGUACUUUCAGCGGGGAGGCGUUACCCGCAGAAGAAGCACCGGCUAACUCCGUGCCAGCAGCCGCGGUAAUUC
Molecule: ribosomal RNA, 406 nt
Filed under: uncultured bacterium
Lineage: Bacteria
Description: partial 16S ribosomal RNA
Rfam family: Bacterial small subunit ribosomal RNA
Source: RNAcentral